AGCGGCUUCUAGGUUAGGAGGGAAUUAUUCUGGGCUGUUAACAGGAUAUCUGGCAAAGCCCUGACGCUCUGCAGACAUUUACCAAUCACAUCUGGUCCUUUUCACGUGAGCCUGGGAAACACCGGGACUCCAGCCAGGUUAUCUCCACUCCUGAUUCAGCUGUCGAGCGAGCCGCUCCACGCUGUCAGGUGACAGGUCACGUGACCGCCGAGGGAGGAGGUUGCCCCCGAGCCAUUGGCGGAGGAGGUCCAUCAUUAGGUGGCAUGCCCCCCCCCAGCCCCACCGCUGCUGUUUGGGAGGUGCAGAGAAA
Long non-coding RNA from Brienomyrus brachyistius, 310 nucleotides. RefSeq lists it as uncharacterized. Lineage: Eukaryota; Metazoa; Chordata; Actinopteri; Osteoglossiformes; Mormyridae. The record is from RefSeq and is a predicted model, not a curated record. The transcript has 3 exons.